GUGGAUAUAGCUCAGUUGGUUAGAGCGCCUGACUGUGGCUCAGGAGGUCGGGGGUUCAAAUCCCCUUAUCCACC
This 74-nucleotide transfer RNA is filed under the name bacterium. RNAcentral describes it as "tRNA-His". It matches the Rfam family "tRNA". Rfam says of the family: Transfer RNA (tRNA) molecules are approximately 80 nucleotides in length. The record is from RNAcentral.